RNAcentral lists this long non-coding RNA (536 nucleotides) under Sorghum bicolor (sorghum). RNAcentral's name for it is "long non-coding RNA (SBIC_LNC010586)". The record is from RNAcentral. Lineage: Eukaryota; Viridiplantae; Streptophyta; Magnoliopsida; Poales; Poaceae.
UUGUGCUGAAUGUAUUUGAACUCAAAAUUGAAAAUGAUUUAAAAGGAUUUUGAAAUGAGUUUCAAAUGGCUUUGGGAAUAAAAGAAAAACAAAAGAAAAGGAAAACCUCUCCCUCUCUACUUCUGGCCUGAAGGCCCAAGUCUCUCCCCAGGCCUGGCCUGUUUCUACAGUCCGCAAGUGCAGCAGCAGCUCCCACCGAGUGGCCUAGCUGCCCUCUCUCUCUCCCACGUGGGCCUGCGACAUCUCUCAGCCCAAUAGCAGCUCGUCCUAGCGCACCUCCCUCUCCUUCUCUCUUCUCUCGCUGACCGACAGACCCCACUCCCUAUCUCGCUAACACUUUGGGCCCAUCUGUCAGCUGGCUUCUUCAACCUCAAGCCGUGACCGGCUUGGACUCUGCCGUAUCGCCCGAGCAGGUUUUCCGCAUGAUUGAGGGCGAGUGCUUAUGCUCGGGCCUCUUAAAUACCGAGCCCCUUCCCUAAUAGCCUUCCCAAUCGAGCCCUAGCUCUUCGUGUUGAGCCCUAGCAGAGCCGCAAUAG